CUGAAGGGCACGGUGAAGGUGGCAGCGUGUCCCUCCCAUUUCCCUGCCCUGUGUAACAGGGAUUUUAUGGGCACCGCUGCCUGCCAAAGCUUCUCAGUCCUUAAGAAAAGGAAUCCUGCAAGUGUGACCAGCUGGGAGAUGCUGUCAGGCUCACGCACAUCCCUUCAUCCCAAUGGAUCAGUCCCGCUGGGGAGAGCCCUCCAAAUCAUUCCCUGGGGAAGGCACUGGGCAUCCUUCAGUCACCUUUCCCUGGUGAGUGAGGAAUCACCUUCUGAGGCAAGGCUGGGACUGAGCUGGAGCAGGAGGACCGUCCCUGCCACAUCCUGGCAAACCUGCAGCACCAACAUCCACUCCUUGAGCAGAGUCCUCUUUGUCUCCCAGGAAAGCAGAAGGAAUGGGAGUUGCUGCUUCUCCAAAAUUCAGCCUUGCCCUGUGAUGAUCCAUCCCUUCAUCCCAGUGAUGGAAUGGCUGCAGCCAGACGUGCCAGGGAGCCCUGAGCCCAUGAUGUGACAGCCCAACCAGACUUGGAAACCACAUCUCUGGAGGUGUCAUAGACAACUCUGAGCAAGGUGCCCUUAAUGAACAGGCAUCAUGGAACUGGGAUUGCUGAAUCACCCUGAAAAAAUUCAGAGUAUUGAGAUCUCCACAUAUAAUCACAGAUUGAUUUGAGAUGGAAGAGACCUUAGAGAUCACCUAGUUCCAAAUCCCUGCUAUGAACAUCUUCACAUCCAAUAGUGUCUGCAGUCUCUGAAGAUGUAAUAGGACUGGAAAACUAAUCUCGGAACCGUUUUUCAAAGCAAAACACACCUAGGAUUUACUCAGGACCUGAUCCAAACU
This is a long non-coding RNA of Melospiza melodia melodia, 837 nucleotides long. RefSeq lists it as uncharacterized. The transcript is spliced from 4 exons. Lineage: Eukaryota; Metazoa; Chordata; Aves; Passeriformes; Passerellidae. The record is from RefSeq and is a predicted model, not a curated record.